CGGUCGAUGUUCCUCCUGCUGGCUCAUUCUGGAGUGGCCUUCCCGGCCCUGCACUGGGCAGUCAUGCUCCCCUCCCGGCACCUCUCACCCCUGACAGCCAUCCUCAGCUCUGCCUGCUCUGUGCCCAGGGUCUGUCCUGCAGGCCCCUGCCAGGCUCCCUCGGCCUGUGGCUUUGGGUCAGUUUCAGUCAAUGGGAGACACCAGCAGGAGGAGAGGGGGCAGAGGAGCAACAAAGGGGGGGCGCUCUUUCUUUCCUGGCCCCCUGCUUCAGCAUCCUGUCUCUCAGGGUCCCUCUGUCCUUCCCUGAUGAUUGGUCAGGUGGGUGGCUGCUUCUUCUCCUUGUCCCAUCCUCCCCGGGGAUGGUAACAGCUUCUGACUGCUGCUAAUCUCUGUGUGCCUCAACUUCCCAAUUCAUUCUUUAGCCCUGACUGCCCCUCUGCAAAGGGUCCCUUCAUUCAUAUCUGAUUUGAACCAUAGGGGGUGAACUCUGCUUCCUCUUGAGACCUUAACCCUGAUGUCUCUGAAGGAUUUGGGGUCCUCUGAUGUGAACCCAGUCCUGUGUCAAUAAUUGAUAAAGCUGGCAGGAAAAUGUGAGAUCAGAGUACUAAUUAUCAAAUUAAUAUUUAAUCCAAGGUUAGAGUAAUAAUGAUUAAUAUGACUACUAACAAAGCACAUAUAUAUAAUUUUGUUCUUGUGACAUCAGCUCCAAAACCUAUGCAGGGCACAUGUGAUUAUGUCCAUACUGAAAGUGAGUGUAUUUAUUAAUCAAUGUUCUUCAGAGAAACAGAACUAAAGGGAAAUGUAUAUAUAUAUGCAUGCGUGUGUGUGUGUGUGUGUGCACGUGGAGAGAGAGAGAGAAAUUUAAGGAAUUGGCUCACAUGAUUGUAGAGGCUCGGUAAGUCCAAAAUCUGCAGGUUAGGCCAGCAGGCUGGAGACCCAGGGCAGAGUUGCUGUUGAGUUCAAAGGUCAUCUGCUAGGAGAAUUCCUUCUUGCUUGGGGGCCCUCAAAGCAGCUGCAGCAACAGAGUCUGACCUCCCAGCAAGGAGCUCCUGCUGGAGGUUUGUUUACUUUGAACAAAAGCUCACAAAGAUGCCUACGAUUCCCUCUGCAAAUAGGAACUUUCCAUUUCUGCAUUACGCAGGGCAUACGUGUGUCAUUUAGGUGUUAAAACAGACCAGAAUGUGUUCUCCUGGCCAGAAGUGAGCAAAGCCAACUCCAGCUGCAGUUCCCUGACAGCCCAGUGAAUUAGGCUGAAGGAAAUGGCCCCACGUGGAGGUGGGAAAGGCCCACAGAGGAUGGUCGUGGUGGGAAACUCAGCAGGCAGAAAUGUUCUCUUGGUUUCUGGGAGGCUGGAGGUUUCCCAAGGGGCCGAUGAAGUUUCAGCCUCAACUGAUGGCAGCAGCCUCUCCAGAUGGCCUGCCACUGCCAUCACACCAGCUGUAGCAGGGAGGUGCAGCCGGGGUUGACCGCUCCAUGGAGUUGACAGGAGCUGGGGACAAGUGGGAGCCCUGCCCCUUCCAAGCUGGGGCAGGAGCUCCCCAGGUGCCGCUGCAGCCAUUCAUACCACGGCUGCAGGCCUGGGCUUCCCACUCCACAGAGCGCGCAGGAGCCCCACCCUCCUGUGAGGGGUUGCACCAGCCCAAGUCAUGGCUGCAGAUCUGAGCCUCCCUGUGCUCUUUGGGGGCUGGGAGCAGGCAGGAGCCCUGCCUUUCCAGGUGCAGCUGCAGCUGCCCAAACUGUCGCUGCAGACCCGGGCCUCCUGCUCCAUGCAGCAGGCAGGAGCCUCACCACCUGCAACCCGCCCCCCAGCCCCCUCCAGGCAUGGUGGCAUCUCCGGGGGGACGUUGCCUUAUUCCAGAUUCUCAGGUCCAGGGGCAGAGGGUCCAGGGGAAGUCUGGGGCCGCAGGAUAUCGCCCAGAGCCUGGCUUCUUCUGCCUUUCUGCCACCAUCCUCAGCUGGUGCCUUCACCUUGAGGCCUCCUGUGGCUGCUGGUGCUGCCGCUCUUGGCCUCCUGUCUGCCUUCAGCCAGGAGAGGAGAAAGGAGGAGGUGAGAGGAGGAAGGGGCUUAAAUAGAAGGCCACACUUACCCAGAAUCCCUAGUAGCCGCCUGUUCUGCAACCCCCUCCUUCCCGCACCCCCCCACCACUGGCUAGAGCUGUGUCACACAAGGAUGAGCAGCCAGAGAGCUGGGCACCAUCCAGGGAGCGCGUGAUCAUCAGGGUCUUGUUGGUAAGAAAAGGGCAUGUGGGUAGACAUCUGGAGUGCCUGUCAUGGUCCAAUUAACUGGCUAAAGGGAUUUGUGGGUGUGCAGCUGUUUUCAAUCAAAAGUACGUAAUUCACAUCUUCCCAAACACAGAUUCCUGCUUUUGAGUAAUGAAGGCGGCCAAACCACAUGACCCUGCCUGCAAAGAUUCCACCUGGACUCCCGGUUCCUCCAAGGAACCGUCGUGUGGUUCAAAUCCAACAGAAAUUCUCCAAAUCUCCACCCUCCUCAGGGUGCAGAGUUGGCUGCUUCUCUGUGCCCCCUGCUGAUCACCACAACCCCUGGGUGCCUCAGCCUGCGAAGCCCCAGCUGUCCUCCGUCUGCAGACAAGCCAAGGUGUGAAAGCCUCCUCGCUGGCCCAGGAGCCUGUCAUUGUCCUCCAGCAGCUCUAGCCUGGAUGCGGUCCCAGAGAUAAAUCAUAUCUCUUUAAAAAGCCACAGUGGCCCAUUAUUUCUGCUUGAAAACACCCCUGGCUCUCUGCUGGUGAGCUGGGUGACAGGCCCCGGCUGUUGUGCUCAGCGCUGCAUACAGUCACAUCAGUCUGUCGACUUGUGUAGUGAGCAAGCUGGUAGCUUCAGAUGGCGUGCACAUGAAAUCCCGUCCUGGCAUCCAGGACUUGGCCGGGGGUUGCAGGGAGCCAUGUCUCCUGAACAGGUAGUAAUAUUUUACAGUCCCCGCCUCAUGCCCAUGCGAAAUGCCCUGUUCAUACCUGGCUACAUGGGCAGUAGCAAAAAAGACACAAUGGCAAUCCCCGGGCUACCUUUUGCAAUAUUCAGCAACACUUUCUCAAAGAAAUUGCAAUCUUGAAAAAUAAACUGAAUACAAUUAAAGAAUUACUCUGGAUAUCUCAACCGGAAGAACAUUGUGAACCACCAUACACCCAUCACACAGGCUCACAGUUAUCAGGGUUUGCUCCUUCCUUCGAGCUCUCUCCCUUCUUCCUGCCAACUUAUUUUAAGGCAAACCCCAGACCUCACGUGGAUGUUUUCUAACAUAGCUGCAAUAUCUUUAUCACCUCCAACAAAAUUAAAAAUAAUUCCCCAUAAUUGUCUAACAUUCAGUCCAUGUUCGAAUUUCUCCAGUUGUCUCCCAAAUGUCUUUUUCCUGUUGCUUUUUGUCAAUCAAGAUUCAACAAGGGCCACAUGGCAUCUGGUUGUUAAGUCUCUAGUGUCUCUUUGGUUGACAGUGAUCCCUUCUCCCUCAUUUUACUUUUCAUGUCGCUGCUUGUUGAAUUCCCAGGAGCAGUUGCCUCUGGGGUGCUACACUUACCCAGAAUCCCUGGCAGCCAGCUGUUCAAAGAAUCUUGAAGCAAUCAGAUGGUUGGUGCGGAAUAAGGUUCGUGAAUUCUGGAUUUAGCUUUGAAUGCUUCAGCCAACCUGGAAUUUGUCUGAAUUUGUCUGCCUGCUGCCUCAUGGUGGCCCAUUUUAUUCCCUCUACCUGGAAGGACAAGUGGAUACCUCUGAGCAAUCUUGGGGAAGAGAUCAUGGUUUCCGUUGUUAGGAACAACGCUCAAAAUCCUAAGGAAAUUGAACACUUGAACAAAAGAUUCUUAGCAAAGCAAUUUUACUUCUGCGCAGAGGAGUGCCUCCUUGGCCAGUUGCCAUGAGAACACAUCUGAACAAAUGGCACGAGAGCC
RNAcentral lists this long non-coding RNA (3899 nucleotides) under Homo sapiens (human). RNAcentral's name for it is "HSALNT0268222". Lineage: Eukaryota; Metazoa; Chordata; Mammalia; Primates; Hominidae. The record is from RNAcentral.